AGCUCCAAUAGCGUAUAUUAAUGUUGUUGCAGUUAAAAAGCUCGUAGUUGGAUUUCUGAGAGAAUUGCACCUGGCCCGUCCCUUAUGGGAUGUGCGUCGGAAGGCAUCUCUCAUCCUCUCAGGGAAAGUUCAUGCCCUUUCAAUAGGGUGGGUUCGAUAACUGGGUCGUUUACUUUGAAAAAAUUAGAGUGUUUAAAGCAGGCUUUUUGCUAUGAAUACAUUAGCAUGGAAUAAUAACUUAGGACUUCGGUUCUAUUUUGUUGGUUUCUAGUACUGAAGUAAUGAUUGAUAGGGAUAGUUGGGGGUGCUAGUAUUGGGCGGCCAGAGGUGAAAUUCUUGGAUUCGCUCAAGACUAACUUAUGCGAAAGCAUUCACCAAGGAUGUCUUCUUUAAUCAAGAA
Molecule: ribosomal RNA, 400 nt
Filed under: phytoplankton environmental sample
Lineage: Eukaryota
Description: partial small subunit ribosomal RNA
Rfam family: Eukaryotic small subunit ribosomal RNA
Source: RNAcentral